GGGCGGCUAGCUCAGUUGGUUAGAGCACUAGCUCGACACGCUAGGGGUCACAAGUUCGAGUCUUGUGCCGCCCAGCA
RNAcentral lists this transfer RNA (77 nucleotides) under Spirochaetes bacterium RBG_16_67_19. RNAcentral's name for it is "tRNA-Val". It matches the Rfam family "tRNA". Rfam says of the family: Transfer RNA (tRNA) molecules are approximately 80 nucleotides in length. Lineage: Bacteria; Pseudomonadati; Spirochaetota. The record is from RNAcentral.